GGCCGAUGGUAGUGUGGGGUC
RNAcentral lists this unclassified non-coding RNA (21 nucleotides) under Escherichia coli. RNAcentral's name for it is "RNA (5'-R(*GP*GP*CP*CP*GP*AP*UP*GP*GP*UP*AP*GP*UP*GP*UP*GP*GP*GP*GP*UP*C)-3') from Escherichia coli (PDB 1A4D, chain A)". The record is from RNAcentral. Lineage: Bacteria; Pseudomonadati; Pseudomonadota; Gammaproteobacteria; Enterobacterales; Enterobacteriaceae.